ACUCCUACGGAGGCAGUAGUGGGGAAUAUUGCACAAUGGGCGCAAGCCUGAUGCAGCCAUGCCGCGUGUGUGAAGAAGGCCUUCGGGUUGUAAAGCACUUUCAGUUGUGAGGAAGGUGGUGUCGUUAAUAGCGGCAUCAUUUGACGUUAGCAACAGAAGAAGCACCGGCUAACUCCGUGCCAGCAGCCGCGGUAAUACGGAGGGUGCGAGCGUUAAUCGGAAUUACUGGGCGUAAAGCGCAUGCAGGUGGUUUGUUAAGUCAGAUGUGAAAGCCCGGGGCUCAACCUCGGAACUGCAUUUGAAACUGGCAGACUAGAGUACUGUAGAGGGGGGUAGAAUUUCAGGUGUAGCGGUGAAAUGCGUAGAGAUCUGAAGGAAUACCGGUGGCGAAGGCGGCCCCCUGGACAGAUACUGACGCUCAGAUGCGAAAGCU
RNAcentral lists this ribosomal RNA (433 nucleotides) under uncultured bacterium. RNAcentral describes it as "bacterial SSU rRNA". It matches the Rfam family "Bacterial small subunit ribosomal RNA", at positions 335 to 761 of the family's 1533-position model. The record is from RNAcentral.